UGAGGAAUUUUGCGCAAUGGGAGCAAUCCUGACGCAGCAACGCCGCGUGGGUGAUGAAGGCCUUCGGGUCGUAAAGCCCUGUCAGGUGGGAAGAAUGUCCCGGAACUGAACAGGUUUCGGGAGUGACGGUACCACCAGAGGAAGCACCGGCUAACUCCGUGCCAGCAGCCGCGGUAAUACGGAGGGUGCGAGCGUUAUUCGGAAUUACUGGGCGUAAAGCGCGUGCAGGCGGUUUGGCAAGUCUGAUGUGAAAGCCCCGGGCUUAACCUGGGAAGUGCAUUGGAAACUGCCGGACUUGAGUACUGGAGAGGAAGGGGGAAUUCCCGGUGUGGAGGUGAAAUUCGUAGAGAUCGGGAGGAAUAUCAGUGGCGAAGGCGCCCAUCUGGACGGUAACUGACGCUGAGACGCGAAAGCGUGGGGAGCAAACA
RNAcentral lists this ribosomal RNA (428 nucleotides) under uncultured prokaryote. RNAcentral describes it as "bacterial SSU rRNA". It matches the Rfam family "Bacterial small subunit ribosomal RNA", at positions 355 to 774 of the family's 1533-position model. The record is from RNAcentral.